GAUGAACGCUAGCGGCAGGCUUAAUACAUGCAAGUUGAGGGGCAGCAUGAUAUACGCGAGUAUAUUGAUGGCGACCGGCGGACGGGUGAGUAAUAGGUAGGAGACCUACCUCAUACAGGGGGAUAGCAUAGAGAAAUCUGUGGUAAUACCCCAUGAGGUUAUAUGAAUAGAGGCAUAUAAUCAAAGCAUAAGUGAUUAUGCGGUAUGAGAGGGGCCUACUGACCAUUAGCUAGUUGGUGAGGUAAGGGCUCACCAAGGCGAAGAUGGUUAGGGGUUUUGAGAGAGAGACCCCCCACAUUGGAACUGAGAGACGGUCCAGACUCCUACGGGAGGCAGCAGUAGGGAAUAUUGGGCAAUGGGCGAAAGCCUGACCCAGCCACGCCGCGUGAAGGAAGACGGCCUUAUGGGUUGUAAACUUCUUUACUACGCGAAUAGAGGUUAGUACGAGAUACUAAUAGGAAGGUAGUGUAGUAAAAAAGCACCGGCUAACUCCGUG
RNAcentral lists this ribosomal RNA (496 nucleotides) under uncultured bacterium. RNAcentral's name for it is "bacterial SSU rRNA". It matches the Rfam family "Bacterial small subunit ribosomal RNA", at positions 28 to 507 of the family's 1533-position model. The record is from RNAcentral.